This 424-nucleotide ribosomal RNA is filed under the name Bacillota bacterium. Its description in RNAcentral is "Firmicutes bacterium partial 16S ribosomal RNA". It matches the Rfam family "Bacterial small subunit ribosomal RNA", at positions 355 to 776 of the family's 1533-position model. Lineage: Bacteria; Bacillati; Bacillota. The record is from RNAcentral.
UAAGGAAUAUUGGUCAAUGGACGCAAGUCUGAACCAGCCAUGCCGCGUGAAGGAUGAAGGUCCUCUGGAUUGUAAACUUCUUUUAUAGGGGGCGAAAAAAGGGUUUUCUAACUCACUUGACAGUACCCUAUGAAUAAGCACCGGCUAACUCCGUGCCAGCAGCCGCGGUAAUACGGAGGGUGCAAGCGUUAUCCGGAUUCACUGGGUUUAAAGGGUGCGUAGGCGGAUAGGUAAGUCAGAGGUGAAAUCCUGGAGCUUAACUCCAGAACUGCCUUUGAUACUAUCUAUCUUGAAUAUGGUGGAGGUAAGCGGAAUAUGUCAUGUAGCGGUGAAAUGCAUAGAGAUGACAUAGAACACCUAUUGCGAAGGCAGCUUACUACGCCUAUAUUGACGCUGAGGCACGAAAGCGUGGGGAUCAAACAGG